GGCUGGUUACCAAGGUUACCGCCGAGAGGCCGCGUCCUCAGCUGGUCCUAGACAUGCGUGGCGUCGGGGCUGUGGCACGGUCGGGUCCGGGGACACUUGUUUAACAAGACAUCUGCCCAUGUCCCUGGCCCAUCUCAUUGGCUGCAGCACAUCACAGUGGACCUUCUGCCUCCUCCCAGAUGCCCAGGGACAGUGAUCUGGAAGGAAGGGGCUUGAGGCUGUUUUCCUAGAACUCGACUUGAAUGCACCAAGGAAAGGCCAUUUGUGGGGACAUAGCAAGAAGGCAGCUGUCUGCAAGCCAGGAGGAGAACCCUCACCAGAAACCUCACAGAAAUCGGCCAACACCCUCAUCUCGGGCUUCCAGCUUCAGAACAACGAGAAAACAAAUUUCUGUUGUGUCCUGGUUCCCAUUUGUAAUUGGCACCCUAAUGAAACCGUUUUCUGUAGCCCUGGAAAUGGCUGAAAAUGAGGGGAGGGAAAUAAAGUGCUAUAAUUCAGAGCAUGGAGCACACCUUCCUGGUUCACCUGAGCUGGAUUCGGAGAGGUAAAAUGGCCAUUACCUCGUCUAAGCUGCCACUUACAGACACAGUACAGGAUGAGGCCCAGACCCACAGAGACAACGAUGAUGGCCACAGCUAAGAUGAUCCAGAAAUUAUUCCUCCACCAGCUCAUUGCAGUGGAAUCCUGAGAAGAAUGGAGAGAGAAGAAUGAGAGGGCAAAAGCAGAUGGCUACACCGAGAACUCACGCCAGCCCAACACACUUUGAUCUCGAGGCCUCUGGAAGGGAAGGUGCCUAAUGAACUACUGAAAGCCAGAGAUGCAAUGACAAAGCAGUCGUACCAGGGCCCCAGGCUGCAAUCCCCUGGCCCAGUGCUGAUCGGUGGCUCCCAGGGACACGCCCUGAUGCCAGCGCUGGCAGAUGUCUGCUGUGAAGAGAGCAGGAAACUGUCCCUUGGAAAGCUGAGAUGCUUACCUGAACUGUGAAAGUAUCCAUAUGUGAGCAGCUAAGGAGACAGCAGUGGCUGGAGUGCUGCAGCUCAGGCACAGCUGGGAAGCUCAUGACCCACGGCUGUCCAGAAGCCAGAAUCUUCUCACUGCCCCGUGUCGCUCCCGCAAGGCCUACCAGAGGACCCUCAUGGUGUGGUAGGGGGUCCUGGCAGGGGCCAGGGGCCAGGGUGGAGACUUGGCAGUGGGGGUGGGUUUGGUGUCCCCACAGACGAGUUUGCCGUGAGCAUUCCUGGAUGUGGCAACCUCAGUCUCAAGAAGAGCGACAGGACGCCAGCUCCCAUGCAGAGACAGAUCCAGGUAAGAAACCAGCUCAUGUGUGACAAACUCACCAUCUCACCAUGAAGGUGACUCUUGAAAGCUCCUGUGCACCUUGGAACUGCUGAGACAUCUUCUGCUUGGAGGAGGCAAGGGACAGGCUUCCUGUUUCUAAAGGCGUGUGAGUGGCGACCUUGAGAAAUGUGGCCAGUGGAGCAUUUUGACUGAGUUGGGUCCCCUCGUGCAAUACUGUGAGACAGAACUCCCAGCGAGGCCCACGGCCUCUGACCAUGGGGGUUGGAGUGGGGAAACCAAUUAGCCAUUUUGUUGAAUUGGCUGGUUCUGACUCAAAUGAGCAGUCACAUUAGUAAAAAUAGGCAAACGGAUGUGCAUUGUAUUUGCCCAGAGCGAAUGAGUUGUUAUCCAUUUCAGUAAUAAUGAUAACCAGAUAUGUCUGA
RNAcentral lists this long non-coding RNA (1721 nucleotides) under Homo sapiens (human). RNAcentral's name for it is "HSALNT0388200". Lineage: Eukaryota; Metazoa; Chordata; Mammalia; Primates; Hominidae. The record is from RNAcentral.